This 492-nucleotide ribosomal RNA is filed under the name uncultured bacterium. RNAcentral describes it as "partial 16S ribosomal RNA". It matches the Rfam family "Bacterial small subunit ribosomal RNA", at positions 29 to 507 of the family's 1533-position model. The record is from RNAcentral.
AGUGAACGCUGGCGGUAGGCCUAACACAUGCAAGUCGAACGGCAGCACAGUAAGAGCUUGCUCUUACGGGUGGCGAGUGGCGGACGGGUGAGGAAUACAUCGGAAUCUACUUUUUCGUGGGGGAUAACGUAGGGAAACUUACGCUAAUACCGCAUACGACCUACGGGUGAAAGCAGGGGAUCUUCGGACCUUGCGCGAUUGAAUGAGCCGAUGUCGGAUUAGCUAGUUGGCGGGGUAAAGGCCCACCAAGGCGACGAUCCGUAGCUGGUCUGAGAGGAUGAUCAGCCACACUGGAACUGAGACACGGUCCAGACUCCUACGGGAGGCAGCAGUGGGGAAUGUUGGACAAUGGGCGCAAGCCUGAUCCAGCCAUACCGCGUGGGUGAAGAAGGCCUUCGGGUUGUAAAGCCCUUUUGUUGGGAAAGAAAAGCAGCAGGUUAAUACCCCGCUGUUCUGACGGUACCCAAAGAAUAAGCACCGGCUAACUUCGCG